UGAGGAAUAUUGGACAAUGGGCGCAAGCCUGAUCCAGCCAUGCCGCGUGAGUGAUGAAGGCCUUAGGGUUGUAAAACUCUUUUAGUAGGGAAAAUAAUGAUGGUACCUACAGAAAAAGCUCCGGCUAACUUCGUGCCAGCAGCCGCGGUAAUACGAAGGGAGCUAGCGUUACUCGGAAUAACUGGGCGUAAAGCGUAUGUAGGCGGAACCACAAGUCAGGGGUGAAAUCCCGGGGCUCAACCCCGGAAUUGCCUUUGAAACUGUAGUUCUUGAGUAUGACAGAGGAUGGUGGAAUUUCUAGUGUAGAGGUGAAAUUCGUAGAUAUUAGAAAGAACACCGGUGGCGAAGGCGACCAUCUGGGUCAUAACUGACGCUGAGAUACGAAAGCGUGGGGAGCAAACAGG
Molecule: ribosomal RNA, 404 nt
Filed under: uncultured bacterium
Lineage: Bacteria
Description: bacterial SSU rRNA
Rfam family: Bacterial small subunit ribosomal RNA
Source: RNAcentral